GACUGUCACUUAAUGACGUCUUGCAUACUGGUCCAAAUUUACAGGCAGACUUAUUUUUGCUUUUACUCCGCUUUCGUUUGUUCCCUGUGGCAUUGUGCGCUGAUGUGGAACAAAUGUACUUACGCAUUAGGGUGACCACAGACCACCAUAAAUAUUUAAAAAUAUUGUACCGCUUUAAAAAUGAUAAACUUCGCAUUUUCGCUUUUAACUGUCUGCCCUUUGGUUUAAAGUCAUCACCUUAUUUAGCAAUGCGUACUAUACGUCAAUUAGCAUCAGAAGAAUGUUAUCGUUAUCCAGAAGCCGCUAGUGUAGCUGAGUCUCAAUUAUAUAUGGAUGAUCUCGUCACAUCCCUACACGAAGAUAUUUCAGCUAUCAAACUAUCGAAACAACUAAUUUCACUCUUUAAAUCAGGAGGUUUUAAUUUAACAAAAUGGGCAAGUAACUCCACUGCCUUUCUUAAUAGCCUUCCAGAAACGCACCGCUCUUCUGUAAGCUUCUCUGAUGAUGCUAAUAAUACCAUGAAAGUUUUAGGCCUUGCAUGGCUUCCCGCUAAUGACUCAUUUUUUAUGACGAGCUCAAACACUAAUGAAAAGUGCACUAAAAGAACAAUAUUAUCUUUAGUCGCACGCUUGUUCGACGUGCUUGGUUUGGUUGCUCCAGUUAUACUGUUCGCUAAAUUGCUUAUUAAGGAACUCUGGAAUUCUAAAAUAGACUGGGAUGAUACACCUCCAGAUACAAUUAUUUACCGCUACUCUUCACUAGUGAAAGAGCUUCCAUUGCUUUCAACUAUCGCAAUACCGCGCCAUAUUGGAGUUUUUAAAGACUGUGAAGUAAAUAUUGUUGCAUUUUGUGAUGCAAGCUUGAACGCUUACGGUUGCGUUGUUUAUUUACACAUUACAGAUCCCACAGGAGAUAUUACUUUAAGAUUAUUGUGCUCAAAAUCAAAGGUUUCUCCGGUUAAGAUAACUACAUUAGCUCGCCUUGAGCUUUGUGCCGCUCUUCUUUUGUCAAAAUUAGUUAAACUUAUUUAUAACGCUUAUAAUUCUUUACAUCCUAUCACCGCUAUAUACGCUUUCUCAGAUUCUACAAUUGCUCUUUCUUGGAUUAAAUCUUCCCCGCAUAGAUGGUCAAUAUUUGUAGGAAACCGCAUCGCUCAAAUUCAGGAGAAUUUAUCACCUGACCGCUUUUUUCAUAUUAAUGGUAAGGAAAAUCCUAGCGAUUGUGUGUCACGAGGUCUUUUACCGUCACAAAUUAUUAAUAACUCGCUUUGGUGGCAGGGUCCUUCUUGGGCCUGCUAUCCUAUUUCACAAUGGCCUAUUGAACCUUUUGUACCUUGUAAAUCUGGAAGUGACAUACCUGAAAUGAAAAAAUCUGUAACACUUACCGCUUUAACUGUUGUCGAAGAUUCCCCAAUAUAUCAACUUGGGUUGAGAGUUUCGUCAUGGUCAAAACUUCUUCGCUGUGUUGUUUAUGUACUUCGAUUUAUAAGAAAACUACCGCGAAACAAGUUUGUAACCGCAUCCGAUUUAAAUACUGCUGAGAAAGCUAUUAUUCGAGCUCUUCAAGCUAAAUAUUUUGGUCAUGAUAUUGCCAGCAUUAGAAAAUUAGAUUUACCUUCGAAAAAUAUUCGUAAACUUAGUCCAUUUAUUGACGAAGAUGGAAUUUUGCGUAUUCAGGGUAGACUUUCGAGCUCUGAUUUACCGUUUGAAACGCAACACCCCGCUUUAUUGCCAAAACACGAUCACAUAAUAAAUAUUAUUGUUGAUUAUUUUCAUAAUACAAACUUGCACACUGGUCCGGACCUUUUGAUGUCCAUUAUUCGUCAACGCUUUUGGAUAUUGUCCGCUAGAAACGUUAUAAGAAAAAGAGUGCAUAUGUGUAAAUCAUGUUUUCGUGUAUCACCUUCACACCCAACUCCCAUGAUGGCUGACCUUCCGUCAAGCCGUGUAAUGGAGGCCAAAGCUUUCUGUCACACGGGAGUAGAUUACGCGGGCCCAUUUAAGAUAACGCUUGUACGCAAACGUGGUCAUCAUUCACAAAAGGCUUACAUUUGCCUGUUCGUAUGCUUAACGACAAAGGCUAUACAUAUUGAGUUAGCCUCGGAUUUGUCAACGGACUCAUUUCUUGCCGCUUUCAAACGUUUUAUAUCUCGUCGAGGUCCAGUUUCUUUCAUGUAUUCAGAUAAUGGCACUAAUUUUGUUGGCGCAAAGGCUCAGUUAGAUGAAAUGUAUAAACUUCUAGUUUCAAAUAAUUUUAUAUCCGCAUGGAAUGAUGAAUUAACUAAAUACCGAAUCAUUUGGAAGAUGAUCCCGCCUCGGGCUCCACAUUUUGGAGGUUUAUGGGAAUCAAACAUUAAAUCCGUUAAAACUCAUUUAAAUAGAGUAAUAGGCGCACAAAUUCUCACUUACGAAGAGAUGUUAACUGUGUUGAAUCAAAUAGAAUGUCUUAUGAAUUCCAGACCUUUAUGUCUUUUAUCCGCAGAUCCCAACCCCGAAAUUCUCACACCCGCACAUUUUUUGAUGUCCACUCCUUUGCAGUAUUUACCCGCGUCUGAAUUGUCCGCAAAUCAGAUGAGUCUAACUAAUCGCAAAGCGUUGUUAGAUAGUUUGGUUAAUUCCUAUUGGAGGAAAUGGAGAUUAGAGUACCUGCAUACGUUGCAAGUCAGACAGAAGUGGUGUACAUCAGAUAACCCCGUGAAGGUUGGGACAGUAGUUCUUAUUCAUCAAGAUGACAUUCCACCGCUCCGCUGGCCACUUGGAGUUAUACAAGAGGUGUAUCCAGGUGCCGAUAACAUUAUACGCGUUGCUUUGGUAAAAACGAAAUCUGGAUUUCUUAAACGUCCAGUUGUAAAAUUAUAUCCGCUACCGCUAGAAUAAAUUAGAGUACCGCAUGUCAUCAACCGCUUCAACUCUACUCGUAAACAUUCCUGAUGGCUUAUUAUUAAUUAAAAUUUGUUUAUUUUCAAAUAACUUCCCGCUAUUUAAGCUUUAUGCUUCCUAUCUUAGUAUCUUUAUAUAUUUGUUGAAAGUCCUGCGAACUUUCAAGGCGGGCAGGAUGGUCACGCGGAUUUAGUAAUGGGAUGCUAAUGAAUUAUUGGGAUGGCGCCACCUUUGGAGUUUGUUAGUUACUAAUUACCGCGACUAUCCAAAGCGUGGUUCUACCCGAUCGAUCACGCUUUACCGCUAGCUGCCUAGAUGGCGGCACUUGUAUAUUGUGUGGUGCUUGAGCUUACGAAAAGCUACGUGAGCUUCGUCACCCCCUCCCGCCGCCCGCGUGCUUCCAUCGCCGACGCCCGCACGACAGUCACUGGCAAGGUCUACAGAUCGCGUUAUCCAAACAUGGUCAUUAUCAGAGACCAUAUUUGGCCUGGCCAUAGUCCUGUCUGUCUACUUGGCUUUAGUCGUAAAAAUACUACCGUCGUUCAUGAAGC
RNA transcript from Bombyx mori (domestic silkworm), 3430 nucleotides. It is a transcript of the gene named elongation of very long chain fatty acids protein 4, with no coding region annotated. The record is from RefSeq and is a predicted model, not a curated record. NCBI's taxonomy places the organism in Eukaryota, Metazoa, Arthropoda, Insecta, Lepidoptera, Bombycidae. The transcript has 2 exons.